RNAcentral lists this unclassified non-coding RNA (237 nucleotides) under fungal sp. RNAcentral describes it as "partial internal transcribed spacer region". The stretch from base 1 to 46 matches the Rfam family "Eukaryotic small subunit ribosomal RNA", at positions 1786 to 1831 of the family's 1831-position model. The record is from RNAcentral. Lineage: Eukaryota; Fungi.
AAGUCGUAACAAGGUUUCCGUAGGUGAACCUGCGGAAGGAUCAUUAAAAAAGAUUGGGUGAGUAAAAAGGCCUGGACCAAGAUCCAGGGGCUCACAUCAAUAAUCCCCACCUGUGCACUUAUUGAAAAGAUAUCCUUCUGAUCAUUUUUGGUCAGGAGAAGAAAACUAUUGCCUGAUAUUUUGACUGAACUUGUAAAAUAAUUAAUACAACUUUCAACAACGGAUCUCUUGGCUCUC